AUAUAGUAAAUCCAGCUACUAUUCUUUUAGUAGGACGGUGGUCUUCGUCCUCCUAAGCCAUUUUAGAUGAUAGAAAUUUCGAAUCGAUGAUCGAAAUUGUUAAAGUUGAUCUAUAGAGUAUUUAUAAUGUCUAGAAACUAAAUUUUAAAAUUUGUUGUCAAAUUUAUUGAAGAGUUAAAAAAUGAGUGGUAAAAAAUGAAUAAUUUUGUGAAAAUAACUGUUAGACUUUUUCAAUUCAUGAUCAGAAUUAUCAUACGUUAUCUAAAUAGUAUAAAAAUUUUCUAUCAAAAAUUCAAGCUGCUUGGAUUGUUCUUCACGGUUAAACAAGCAAACGACUCAUAUAGGCGGUCAAAAACUAUCGAUUUUGAAAUCAUUUGAUCACUAUGUAAAUAAUUCUAAAUCAACUUUAACAAUUCCGAUAAUCAAUUUGAAAUCUCUAUCAUCUGAAAUGAUUUAGAAGGAUGAAGAUCUCCAUCCUUCUAAAAGGAUAGUAAAUGGAUUCUAUAUAUAGUUG
RNAcentral lists this long non-coding RNA (514 nucleotides) under Ananas comosus (pineapple). RNAcentral's name for it is "long non-coding RNA (ACOM_LNC011061)". The record is from RNAcentral. Lineage: Eukaryota; Viridiplantae; Streptophyta; Magnoliopsida; Poales; Bromeliaceae.